AUGAAAGCUGCAUGAUAAAUGUCCGCUAAAACUGAACAGUACAGAGAAGACAACACAGCCCCUGUUCAGCGAUGACACACAGAUUCGCGAAGCGUUCCAGAGUUUU
This 106-nucleotide small nuclear RNA is filed under the name Panthera tigris altaica (Amur tiger). Lineage: Eukaryota; Metazoa; Chordata; Mammalia; Carnivora; Felidae. The record is from RNAcentral.